RNAcentral lists this transfer RNA (72 nucleotides) under Camelus bactrianus (Bactrian camel). It matches the Rfam family "tRNA". Rfam says of the family: Transfer RNA (tRNA) molecules are approximately 80 nucleotides in length. Their secondary structure includes four short double-helical elements and three loops (D, anti-codon, and T loops). RNAcentral also lists the same sequence under 2 other names. The record is from Rfam by way of RNAcentral. Lineage: Eukaryota; Metazoa; Chordata; Mammalia; Artiodactyla; Camelidae.
AGGGGUAUAGCUUAGUGGUGGAGUGCAUGCUUAGCAUGCAUGAGGUCUUGGGUUCAAUCCCCAGUACCUCCU